Molecule: ribosomal RNA, 495 nt
Filed under: uncultured bacterium
Lineage: Bacteria
Description: partial 16S ribosomal RNA
Rfam family: Bacterial small subunit ribosomal RNA
Source: RNAcentral
GACGAACGCUGGCGGCGUGCCUAAUACAUGCAAGUAGAACGCUGAAGGAGGAGCUUGCUCUUCUGGAUGAGUUGCGAACGGGUGAGUAACGCGUAGGUAACCUGCCUGGUAGCGGGGGAUAACUAUUGGAAACGAUAGCUAAUACCGCAUAACAGUAGAUGUUGCAUGACAUUUGCUUAAAAGGUGCAAUUGCACCACUACCAGAUGGACCUGCGUUGUAUUAGCUAGUUGGUGGGGUAACGGCUCACCAAGGCGACGAUACAUAGCCAACCUGAGAGGGUGAUCGGCCACACUGGGACUGAGACACGGCCCAGACUCCUACGGGAGGCAGCAGUAGGGAAUCUUCGGCAAUGGACGGAAGUCUGACCGAGCAACGCCGCGUGAGUGAAGAAGGUUUUCGGAUCGUAAAGCUCUGUUGUAAGAGAAGAACGAGUGUGAGAGUGGAAAGUUCACACUGUGACGGUAUCUUACCAGAAAGGGACGGCUAACUACGUG